UAGGGAAUCUUCGGCAAUGGGGGCAACCCUGACCGAGCAACGCCGCGUGAGCGAAGAAGGUUUUCGGAUCGUAAAGCUCUGUUGUAAGUCAAGAACGAGUGUGAGAGUGGAAAGUUCACACUGUGACGGUAGCUUACCAGAAAGGGACGGCUAACUACGUGCCAGCAGCCGCGGUAAUACGUAGGUCCCGAGCGUUGUCCGGAUUUAUUGGGCGUAAAGCGAGCGCAGGCGGUUUGAUAAGUCUGAAGUUAAAGGCUGUGGCUCAACCAUAGUUCGCUUUGGAAACUGUCAAACUUGAGUGCAGAAGGGGAGAGUGGAAUUCCAUGUGUAGCGGUGAAAUGCGUAGAUAUAUGGAGGAACACCGGUGGCGAAAGCGGCUCUCUGGUCUGUAACUGACGCUGAGGCUCGAAAGCGUGGGGAGCGAACAGGAUUAGAUACCCUGGUAGUCCACGCCGUAAACGAUGAGUGCUAGGUGUUGGGUCCUUUCCGGGAUUCAGUGCCGCAGCUAACGCAUUAAGCACUCCGCCUGGGGAGUACGACCGCAAGGUUG
This 550-nucleotide ribosomal RNA is filed under the name uncultured bacterium. RNAcentral's name for it is "bacterial SSU rRNA". It matches the Rfam family "Bacterial small subunit ribosomal RNA", at positions 355 to 896 of the family's 1533-position model. The record is from RNAcentral.